UUGAAGCGCAAGGGAUAGAAGUGGAAAGCCCACAGUCUCGUCUUUUUGGACGAGACGAGGACUUAUAGCGGAUAGCCCGACACAGC
RNAcentral lists this unclassified non-coding RNA (86 nucleotides) under Flavobacterium sinopsychrotolerans. Its description in RNAcentral is "Flavo-1 RNA". The record is from RNAcentral. Lineage: Bacteria; Pseudomonadati; Bacteroidota; Flavobacteriia; Flavobacteriales; Flavobacteriaceae.